UACGGGGGGUGCAAGCGUUAUUCGGAAUCAUUGGGCGUAAAGCGCGCGUAGGCGGCCAGUUAAGUCAGAUGUGAAAUCCCGGGGCUUAACCCCGGAAGUGCAUUUGAAACUGGUUGGCUUGAGUAUGGGAGAGGGAAGUGGAAUUCCUGGUGUAGAGGUGAAAUUCGUAGAUAUCAGGAGGAACACCGGUGGCGAAGGCGACUUCCUGGACCAAUACUGACGCUGAGGCGCGAAGGCGUGGGUAGCAAACAGG
This 253-nucleotide ribosomal RNA is filed under the name uncultured bacterium. RNAcentral describes it as "partial 16S ribosomal RNA". It matches the Rfam family "Bacterial small subunit ribosomal RNA", at positions 524 to 776 of the family's 1533-position model. The record is from RNAcentral.